UUACCUUAACAACAUGUGCACUGUUACUUACUUACGGAAUCCAUUUCUGAUAUUGCACAUCUCUUUCUCAUUAAAAAUAUCUUUCCUUUUUCAGAGUAAAUCUGUUUGUUUCAAUAUACUGUUCACUACUUUAAACAAUCAAUGUAUCAUAAAAGUUGAUCUAUAUUUGUUACAUCAAACGAGUAUUCUGGUUUAGAAUGCCAUCAAAAUAUUUGUUUCCAAUCUUUUUCGAAAAGCGUAAAGCUUUCUUAUAUCAUUUGUUGCCCACAUAUUUAUUCACGUUUGAAGAAUAUUCAAUUUCUUUCGAUAAAUGUUUCAAUAAAUACAAUUUUUUUACAUGAAACUAAUCAAAUGUAUGUGAGUUGUAUAUAGUACAAAGGCGAAACACAGAAACCAUCGAUAAGAAAAUAUCUUAUAGAUUCUUUGGAUAAAAUCUCAAACAAAGUGUUAAAAAGUGGCAUUCUAAACCAGGAUAGCCCUUUAAUGCAAUAAACACGGAUUAGCUUUUACGCUCCAUUUAAUGUUCAAAGUGGCGCCUCGUUAGUUGAACACAAAAGUGCGAAAAGGUGAGCCGCGUAUCGCGCCGAGCAGCUCACACCAGCGUAAUCAAGAUUUGUGUCACGAGUCCGUUUUCCAUGUACGGCAUCUAUAGCGUUGUCUACCCCAGGUAAUUGUGCCAGCCAGGUUACGUAACACGUCGUUGUGCCACGCAUGAAUAUAAUAGAUACGCGUACCGGGCCUUUUGUCGGUCCGCUUCACAGAACUGUGCACUGUGUGUGUUCUACAUUGUACACCGUUAAUGGCUAGGAUAUUUCCUGUCGUCUCGAGGAUCCACGCUACGUAUUCGCAUCUGCAUAAAACUGCCCGUUGCCUGUGCUACCGCAAGAUGCAACCGAUUGGCGCGCGCUUGCAACACUCCUGACAUUUAGUGAUCUAAUGAAACAGGCGAUGUAUUUGUUACUGCCACUGGAAACUAUAAUUGCCACUAUGGGUGAAUGGAAAAUGGAUAAAAUGGACUGACAGAGCAAAAGGAAGCUCAUCUAAGAGACGAUUCCAGGUUCUCAACAGAGCGAUGGAGCAGAAACAGCGCUAAGGUAAAUGGAAGUAAAGGUACAGACAAAAUGGUUUUCCGAGAAGUUACGGAAAUCUUGAACAAAGAUACAAACUUUUCGAGCUAUCAGGUUCAGUGAAAAGAAAGAUUGAGGGCGGCUGAGCACGAAUGGAAUAUUUUCAGUGGUUUAUAAUAAGAGCGAAAUGACAAAAAUGGUGAGCGGAAUUAAUAAAUAUGUAAGAACAGCGAGAAAGGCAGAAUCUGAGGAAGAGAGAAAAAGAAGACAGCCAGAGGCGAUUGCUAUAUGUCAGACUUUAGCCUAAGAACAUAGGUACGGAACUAAGUCAAAGGUAGACAUGUGAGAGUGUAUAAAUUAACCCUUUGCACUCGAGGACUUUUUCGGUGGGACGUAGCAGCUACUCCGGACGAUUUAGCGUAUACGUGACGCGUGUCUUACAGCUAGCGUAAAAUGAUUUCAUAUAGAAAUUAACUUACAAAAAAGAAUUAUAUUCUAAUAAUUUAUCUAUAUUUACAUGUUUGGAAAUAUGAUUUUGUAAUAUUAAUCUCUGUAUUUUUUUAUGAUAAUUUAUAAAACAUUCGCCAAGAUGCAUUCUUCAAUAUAAUUGAUCUCAUUUUUCAACAGUUCAAAAUCAAGUUCGUCUUCGUUUCAGCUAAUUUCACUUCCGAAAACCAUUUUUUGAGGGUUUCUAAACUAUAAUACUUUUGCCAUGAUCGUCGGAUCCAAACUGACUUUGCAGACGUUGGCAGAACCAUAGUCUCGCAGGCAUAUGGGAUUAAAUAUUUUACCUCCAUUUUAAAGUCUAACGCUUUACAUUUGCCAACAAGGAACAUAAAGAACCAAUUUACCAACCAAUAUCGCACUCUCAUCAAUUGCAGAUGUCGAAAUCUAACAUAGACAGGGACUGUCGCUUCUCGCUCGCCAACUGGAGUCGCAGCAUGGAACGCCGUGGUGAGUGAGAGUCACCUUUCCAGUGCAAAGGGUUAAUAUAGAAUACUAGAUAUAAAUUAAGAAAAAGAUAUAUUUAAGCUUUUACUGUUAGAUAUAAAAUGAGAUACGUACGUUUCGAACGAAAGCAUGAAUGGAUGUGCCUAUUUGGAUAUGAUGAGUACUGUACAUAAAGUAUGGGAAUGAGUGAGAGUUAGAAAUAUGUAAGCCAAGUGCUUUUUCCGAGCUGUGAAGCCGAAAAAUAAAUAGAAACGAAAACAACGACAACAGUCUUUCACUAUUCAAGAAUUGAAAAUUCACUGUGAAUUUAUAAUCAGUAAUUACAUAUUCUGCGCUACUUUACUCCCUAAUAAAAGCUUCAAAAAAUAUCCUUUCUAAAAAUCGAAUCCUGUCAACCGUAGAAAAUUAAUAGAUCCUCGACCAGUGAUUAUCCCACGAAUAACGCCAGAAAGAAAGUUAAGGAAUAAUUAAUGUGAAGUACAUGCAAUAAGAGCAGUCGAAUGCAAAGAAUCGUGUAACUGCAGGCGGUCGUGGCUCGGGCAGGUAUACCGGUCCCGCAGUAGAGAACCACAAGGUCUCCUUUUUCCAAUGACGUCUCGUUGGGGAGAAAUUUUCCGAGACUGGUCUUAUUGGAUUCCGUAACCGCUGGCAGGAAUCGCGAGAAUGGCUUCGGAAGUAGCCUGCCUAGCAGUGUCGGCACACAGACCGAACGAAGCCUUACUUCGACCGCAUUACUCGAAUUCCAACGAAGGCCGAAACGAGAUUCCCACUUUUUCUUCUUCGGGCUUGUGUCCCUCUCGAGCCCGUAAAGAUAUCGACGAGGAGAGACAGCGUGCCACUGUGAACGAAUUGAAAUGUCGCGUAUCAAAGAACUGGAUCGAUCGAACGACGAUUGAGUUUCGAGCUGAGAUGCUUCGGUCAGCCUAUUAACUCGGAGCAGACGAGUUAAUUCGUUCUUUGGAUCACCGACCUUCUCGACCUUGUGAUUUUUAAGAGAUAAAAAAUUGUUCUAUUUUAAUCAUGGUUUCGUUUCUGUAUAUUUGUGUAUGUAAAAUGAAUUAAAAUAAAUCUAUAUUUGUAAAAAUUAAAAUUGAUAAUUGAAACUGGUUUAGCUUUAUUAAUUCAUAGAUUGCGAAUAUUUAUGCAUUUAUAUACGGGAAAUUUAAAUAUGUAAGGAUAUAAAGAAUACAGAUGAAUAGAGAUGAAAAAUUAUAAUAUUUGAUAGAAGAGAUUUCUAUUUAAAUUUCAAAUUUCUCCGGGUAUGUUCAAAAAAUAUAAAUUUACCUAAGUAUCUGCCUACUUAUAAUCUCCUCUUUGAAAGCAAAGGUAAGAAACUAGACCAAUAUAGGUAUAAUUAAUAGGUAGAAUUAGAUUAAGUAGAUCGACAUUGUAGAGACUGUAAACGAAAUCCUCUUCAAGGCUGUGAGGUGGAAAUACAAAGAUGUAUACAUAUAUAAUAUUACAUUAUAUAAGAAAUUACAUAUAUAUAUACAAUCUCUUUUCGUAACAAAACCCCUGAUUUCGAAAGAUAAUAUUCCAGGGCUAAAACAAACCUCUAUCUAUACAACAACCAUGAAUCUAACAAAAUUCAGCAAAAUUCUCAAAAAUAAGAGUUUGCAUAAAUAUUCUCAAUCCACUAAUUAAACUUACAAUCUAUUGAUUUCGUAAUUUUAGUAGUUUCUAGUUAAGAAAUGGUCUAAUUAAGAAAAAUUAAAAGUUAGAAAAAAAAACGGUUUGUCUAGACAUCCGCAGUCUAUUAAUUGCUCAUUUCCGAAUAGUGAAAGUUGCUACUUAAGAAGCGAUCCAAUUAGCAGGUUAAAAAUAAAAAACAUAAUUACUUCCCAUAAGCGUUAUUCGCGUCAUACAAAGUGCAAUCUGUUGCAAGUAACGCGACAAGAAAGCUUGUCUGAUACAGGGUUGUAAAAUUACACUUAGGCCGAGUUGUCUCAGCUAUGGUGGGGUUUAAAGGUGCAUUGUGGGACAAGGUCGGUUCACCGUAGCCACGCAGUCGGGUCACGCUACGCUGGCCACCCCUUUUACUCUUAGCUGUUAAAUUACUGCGAGUUGAGGCCACGCGAUUUAACGACGCCAAUGCUUCCGGCAUUUUUUCUUCGGCGAUGCGAUUUUCUCACGUGCAACUUAAAAGCUUCCUAUGGAACCAUUUUUUACAAUUUUAUUCUUAUUGAGAAUAUAGUACAUAUAUUUGAGAAUUUCAUAGAGCCGUUAAUUAAACACGAACUCAACUCGUAUGAAUUUCCUUUAAACGUAAAAGAUUCUGUCCUAUCUCCGUAGCAAGGUGAGCCAAACAACAUAAUAUAGCGAAUCAUUGCAAAGAUUUCAAGAUAACGUCACCGGUCUUCUUUUCUCUUUAAAAAGCGAAAAAUUAGAACCUUGAAAUACCUUUGUGUCGCAGAAUCUUUAUCCUGAUGACAUUCUUCACGUUCCACUAUCUUUUGUGGACUUGAUAGAGCAAUGUUAAAUACACUCUGUCUAUUUGGAAACUUGAGAGAAUUGUUAAUCGAAUUACUAUCGUAAGCUUAAAGUUUAUUUUUUUUUUUAUCCUUAUAGGAAGAUUUCAAAAUAAGGUCACCGAAAUAUAAUUCGCUUUCUUCUGACGUGAGCUUUUAAGAACGAGAAGAGCUUGACCUUGAAAUAUCCUUAUACUUGAAAAGCGGUAUUGGUAUCUGUACACGAUGCUAUCAGAAAUAAUACAACUCUUAUCGCAUUUUUUAUUUCAUAACUGAUACUUUAUCAUACGUAAAACAUGCGCAAAUUCAAAUUCAGCAUUAAAACUCGAAAUAAGAAAACGGUUAAAUAUAACGAUCAUACUGUACAAGUAAAUAUGCGGAUCAUUUAAAUAUCUUGAUCAUAUGCAUAACAUUUAAAAGCGAUUUUAAUAAAACGGAUGAAUAAUGGAACGAUUUAGAGAGACGUACGACCGUGUAACGAGCGUAAUUUACGUACAUAAAUACAUUACACAUAUGCAAUGCAUAACGACCACUGUUUUAAAUUAUGUAUAUGCAUAUAUGUGUGUUCUCGAGUUUCUUCCUCAGUUCGUAUUUUAUUCCCGGCUCUUGUGUCUCGUUUUACGCUACCGUGACAUUUUUGUUCAACGUACUAUUCUAAACUAAAGUCGUUGCUUCUAUCAAAACGGAGGAAAAAGAAUGUAGAAAAUUAAAAUGAAAAUUAAAGUGAUCACGUGAGAUUGGCAAUCGGAGAAACUGGAGAACGAUACUAAUGACUGGCAAUUAGAGAAAGGACCGACGAUUAUGAGAGUGUGCCAAGUUGUUCUGAGGUGAACCGCAGCCACGCUGCAUGACUCCUCUAAAUAGAGAAGAACGAGGCAAAGGGAAGUGAUUCAUUCGCGGUGAACCGAUGACGAUCCGGAGGAUGACAUCAUUUCCCAACGACGAUUUGAAAUUCGGAGGAGACGCGGUCGUUCGACCGUCUGGGCAAUCGUGGAUAACGCUACCGGAAGGAAACGAUGACUAAUUCCUCAAUAAAUUAUGGAAAUUCCGACACUCCACAAGCUUUUUCAAUCAUUAGAAAUAUCGUAGAAAAUGAUCUGCAGCAGAAAGGGAAAAUCUAAACGUUGUGCGAUCCAGCUAGUAUUAUUAGCAGGAGUUUACAAGUUACAAGUUAUCAGUGUCAAUAAAUUCUCUUGCAUAACGAUGAAAAUAACAAGUUUGAUAAUGUGGCAGAACUUUAAUUAUCCGAGCUAAUUAUAAUACACGCUACUCGGAUAAUCAAACUAUACAGAUAAUCGAAUAAGUUUGUUUUCGCGCGAGAGAAGAUAAUUUCUGUUGAACUGCUUUUAUAAAUACUAAGAUUAAGAUAUUAAGAAACAGGGACAACAUUUUUGAUUAUAAAUAUAACAAUUUCUCGCGAUCUUUAUUCUUGUUUUUCUCCAAGAAAGGAUUCCACGCAUGUAGAACUGAACCUACGUUAUUCAAGAUUCAGAUGUUAAAUUCAGUAACGCAAUGUCCACUAGUGCGCACAAUCAUACUAUUAAACAAUAUAAAUCCAUGUCCAACAAUAUGAAUCGAUACUAAACAUUCUUCCCGUUAUCUCAGGAUACAAUGAUUUCCAGAAGAACAGCCGCAAUGAUUCCACAUCUGAACAUGUGGCAAACGUAAAAUGUAUUAAUUACCGGCAAUUAAAAUCUCAAUUUGCCGGCAAUUACGUUGCAUAGCUUCAUAUCCAAGGUGCUUUCAUCCGCGGGAAACAAGGAUCGUUUUCAUUUCUAACGUUUCCGCACGCGUCCUUAUCGAGCAUCGCCAUCAUCGUUUCUGAAACGUUUAAUUAAAACAGCGAGGAACGCAGGUAUCGCGCAACGUGCAUAAUGACUAAGCGCGUCUACGUGCCUGUGCCAUCCUGUCAAUUACUAUGAUAACGAAAGGGAAGGGAGGAAGAAAGAAUUAAAAAAAAAAAAUAGCAGUUGGCGAAGAGAGGCGCGAUAGACGUGGAGGAAAGACACCGAUGGAGAACGGAAGACGAGGAAAGGAACUGUUGCGUCGGUGGAACAAAGGCGACCACGAAGAAACACGUGUUACCUUUUGCCAUAGGCAUUCGCCGGGUGUAGUUAAUUCUGCGCGCGUCGCGCGACGACAGAACCCGGAACAAGUGUUCGCGCGCAUUUGUAAGCAACAGUACAUCAAGCAGGGGAAACGUUUCGCUUAAUUCAAAUUGUUUUCGCGCGCUUCACGACGUGGGAAACAUCUGCUGGAGACAUGGACAUUGGACUGGACCAGCUUUGGCGAACAAAUGAAACUGGUAGGAAGGAUGAUAUGCAAUGGAAAAUCGAAAAAUCGUGAUAACAGUUGUAUGUAAUUUUCUAGUAUCUAAUCUUCGAUUGUAUCAAAGGAUUAAAUAGUUUCAUUCUGAUAUCUUUCCAUCCUGUAUCCACGUUUUGCAAUUCGUGGAAGCUGUUAAUAGAGGAAGACGAGUUAAUUCCUUUUACUCGGAAUCUAAAUCUCUUAGAGAUAAUUGCUUUAUUUGGAUCAGUUUUCCGUAUAAUUUGCGUAAGUUUUAUAACGCGUAUACGUGGAAAAAUUUCAUUAAUCGAGUCUCUUUGAAACUCUUAGCAUAAGUGAUUAGAAUUGUGUAUUUAACGAUAACUGUGAGAAAUUUCCAUUUUUGUCUAUGCGAAUUAUUUCAAAUAUCACUUUCAAUAAUCAGCCUUAAAUUGAAAAUUACGUAAAUAUAUUGUGUUCUUUUUGAUAUUCUUUUUGAAUGAACGAAUGCUCGGACGAAGGAGGUCAUCUAACUAGCAGACAACGUACGUUGCUCAUAUAUACGGGCUCAUAAAAAUUAAAUGAACGGUGGACAGACGCGAGAAAGGGGGAAGAUAAAGAGCAAGGGAAAUGAAGGUGAGGGGUGAGCAGGACCGAGCGGGAGGAUGCCAGACGAAUGAAUGAAUCUCACGACUCACACGUGUUCUGCUUUGCUUAUUCAGACCAUCGCACCGUCUGAUUCGACACGCAUUGCUCGACACAUGCACUCUGUCAUUGCCGUAGCGAGGAACGCGAUGCCGCCUCAUAAACCGUUCGAUUCGCGUAAUUUUUCUUCUCCACCUUAUAGUCACGUUCGGUGUAAUUGGUAGAAGCCGUAUGUUAUUCUCUACAUAAUGGAAGUUGAGUUUUCGACACAGAAUCGAAAAGCACUUCUAUAAGAUGCGCACGUAUGCGGUGUCCACAUAGUGCUUUAAUUUACGAAUUUGCUAUAUCGGUUCCACUAAUUAUAUGCACGCAGGAUAUUCGAAUUUCUACAGGGUGAUUCUACAAACGAGGACAACGUACAGUUGUUCUUUAAACGAUGGAGAUGAAGAUGAAGAUUGCGACGAAAAGCAGAUGUCGGAUGGUUUAACGAGAUCUAUCUUCUUAUAACGUGACUUCUGCAAGUUGCAGUUGUUCUUUACCGAGCAAAUGUACUUCCUUCUUUGAGCGAGGAAAAAAUGAAACAACGAACCGUGAAAUAUUAUACAGUCGAUUACAAAAGUUCUUUAAAUUUGAAACACCGCGACAAAGAUACUUUUGGCCUAUUAAUUCCUAUUAAUUGAACUUAAAAAUAUAACAAACGAUUCUACGACGAAACAUCUUCUUUAUUUCUUUUGAUAAUCCCAUUAUACAAAAUUUGACGGGUAUAUAUAGGAUUUUACAGACUCACUGUACAUAUGUAUAAGUGCAAUAUAUAUAGAGCACGAACCAUAAAAAUUGCAAAUUUCAUUCACACGGAAUAUAAAGAUAAAAUUCAACGUCGAGCAUAUAUUAGAAAUCCAUGAUCUAUAAAUAAUGAUCGAGAAAAUCGUAACGUCCGCGUGUUCUUCGAUUUCUUAAAGCUUCGUAAGGUACCGUCAACAUGCGCGCAAUCAAGCGAGGACGUUGCAGAAAUUUCGUUUCCCCGUGGCAACGGAACGACCUAGUAUUCGUGCAAAUUGCAGGCCGUUACGUGGCGAAAAGACACAAAACGCCGGAGAAACGCAGAUUCGAUACGCGUUUCCAAGGAUUUCAUCAUCGCAGAUGCUCACUCGGAAUACUCCGCGAGUCACUGCUUUACGGUAAAACGCUGUGCAUACCGAUCGUCUCCUGGAUCGACCUGGAUCAUGAAUUACGUUGUUCGAUUUUGAAGAAUCGAGCGCUAUCGACUUGAUAAGCGUGGAACAUUUGAAAAAUACAAAAUUCAAUACAGAAUUCAAUGAUACUGAUUGAUACUGAUUAUUCAAAUAUUACUGAUUGGUAAUAUCGCUGUUUGAUAAUAUAUUUCAAUUGAAAGAGUGUAAAAAAACAUAUUGUGGAGAAGUUAUCACGAAAAAGCGUUAAAUCUCGCACGCUUUCUCCUCGGCCUUCCCCUCGUAUAUUCCAACUGAUCUACGUCAGUGACACGAAAUUGAGUGGUACUUGAAAUCAAUUUCAACGUGUCAACCGACGAUAAACAAGCAGUAGUUGCACUUAUUUUCUUUUUUUUUUCAGUAACACGGACGAUCAUCAUUUGCAAACAUAUAGAAAGGAAUUUUAUACAAAUAUGGUGCGCUCAUCCACCGCGAAUUUUAUUUCAAUUGAGUAUAUAUGAAUAAUAACGAUGAUUAUAAUCUAACGCGAAAAUAAGAGUAUCUGAUUAUAUAUGAAUUCAACUUGAAUAUUUCCAAUAUCAAAUUUUUUAACUUCUUCUAAGGUCCGGUGCAGACGAAUGCUUUGCGGCAGUUAACCGCUGCCUUCUAUUAGGUUGCCGAAAACGUGUCUUUCUUUUACAGACACGUCUUUUACAACGAUGCAUCUUUAUACAAACAUGAAACCUAAUCUUUGUGAACGUUGUGAUCUUUAUUUUGAGUUUAUACGUAA
Long non-coding RNA from Bombus pyrosoma, 9355 nucleotides. RefSeq lists it as uncharacterized. The record is from RefSeq and is a predicted model, not a curated record. NCBI's taxonomy places the organism in Eukaryota, Metazoa, Arthropoda, Insecta, Hymenoptera, Apidae. The transcript is spliced from 3 exons.